AGAAGAAGAGGACAUCUGCUGCUGCUGCUGCUGCUGCUGAGUCACAUCCAUGUGCUCAGCUGGGGCAAAGCGAAAUGGCUGCUAACGUUACACGUAAGAAAAAUAGACAUUGGACACGCGAGGAGACGCUGAGUUUAAUUGCUGUGUGGGUUGAGCCACAUUACCAGAGGCAAUUUGACGAAAUGAUGCACAACCACACCGUUUGGGAAAAUAUCCACAAAGAACUCCUGCUCCGGUGCCAGUCUAUACAGGACUUAGGAGAUUGGAUCAAAGUCAGAGAAAGGUUGGACUACCUUCGAAAAAGUACCGUGACUGCCUCAAAAACAACAAGAGGACCGGAUCAGAUCCCAUUAAGUGUCCUUACUUUGAAGAACUCGACGCAGUUUUAGGUUGCAGACCUAUGAACAACACCGGGGAAAUCAGGAUGGAUAACGGGGGGAGUUCAGAAGAUGAGGCAUCUGAGUGUUCAGGUGGAUCUGGGAGCACUGAGCCUCUGUCAAACACCUCAAGGGAAAAUGAUGUUGAGGAUGACGCAGCCAGUGAAGACUCCGGGUUCAAAGCACCACCUCCACCUACUGUUGAACCAAAGCCACAAGUCUCACAUGGGUCUUGAUUGCAUUGUGUGGAUAUGAGCUACCAAGGCCUCCCGGAUGCGCUCUGCUGGGGAGAGAGCAGGAACAUCUGGUGCAUAAUGCUGCUCUGGUCCUGCCUCUGGCUGCUCCAACAUGUCUUCCUGGGGUUCCUGGUAGGCAACAUUCUGCAUCUCACAGAAGUUGUGCAACACUAUGCAAGCUGAUACAACAUAUUUAACAUUUUUUGUUUGAGAAUCAUUUCUCUUCAUGAUGCAUCGCCAGCGACCCUUAAGGCGGCCAAAUGCAUGCUUGACAUGGAUGCGUGCACGGCUCAAGCAGGCAUUGUAGGCUGCCCUUGGUCCCCUCGCUGUACCCUCCGGGAAUGGCUUCAUUAUGUUGCUGGUCAAGCUGUAGGCAGAAUCGGCCACAAUCAGGAAAGGUAUGUUGACCCCUUGGAUGUUCCUGGUGACUGGAGGGGAAAAAGUGCCAUCCCCCAGCUUGCGGCACAGACGGGAACACUCAAACACAUACGCAUCGUGGCAAUUCCCAGGCCAGCCAACAACGAAAAUCAAGGAACUUGUAAGUGUGGUCUACAAGUCCUUGAAGGAGAACACUGUACCAUCCUUUUCUGUUGUAGUAGUCAGUGGGCAAUGACAGGGAUGUGGGUGCCAUCCAUAGCACAGGGACAGGGACAGUUUUUGGCCUCUUCACAUAAAUCUUUCUGAGUUUGCUCAGGGCCUCUCAUACUUACUAGAAGAUGUUGCAGGCUGUGCUGACCCCAAUACCAAACAGAUUGGCAACAUCGUGAAACUCAACAUUACUGGCAUGCCUGUAGAUGGUAACUGCAACCCUCUUCUCUAACGGCACUGGUUCCAGCAUGUUAGUGGUUUGAGGGUUGAUGUAUGGGCACCGCUGGUCACACAGUAUGUUGAAGGCCUCUUUGGGCAUUCUGAAGUUGAGGUAACAGUCUUUCUCCAGAAAUUUCUGGAGCAUCUCUGUUUCCCAGAAGGAAUGGCCUCACUCCCGUGGUGUUCUUUCAAUGUACCAUGCAUCUGGAGGGCAGUCAGUAUAAACAUGUUGUCAGUUUGUAGUGUUGACAUUUUACUGAAGUAAAUAAAUCCCUUAUCCCUUAUAAUAAAUGGAAGUACUGAAAAACUGUUGGCAUAAGAACAGUAUCAUGCCCAACCUAUUAAGAAAUGUAAGUAUUACAUUCAAACCUAGCCCUGACAGGCACACACUGUCAUGGACCACACCCUUUAAAGUACUAGAAACCAGAUCGCUGUCAAUUUUGCUCACAUUUGCAGGAAGGUAAGUUACUAGCUAAUUAAUAGCUUGAUAAUCGCAUGGGUGAUGUGAGAAGAUGUAAAAACUGUUAACAUUAACCUUGAAUUAUGAUAUGAAUUCCCUGGCUUGUUUGUGCAAUAUUUUUGAGAAAUACUGAUUGGAAAGUGUCUGGUCACCAAAACCUGUGAGCCUAUAAAAACGUUGUGUGAUGGAAAAAAAACUGUAGUGUAGGCCUUGGUGUGUGUGUGUCUGUGUGUCUGGGUGUGUGUGUGUCUGUGUGUCUGUGUGUGUGUCUGUGUGUCUGUGUGUCUGUGUGUGUGAGACAUAAUCUGAUAGGUCACAGAAUACAGUGUGACACCUGCUCUGUCCAACAUGCUGAACCGACAGUAUCGCCCUGACAACAUAAUUUGUGCUUUCCAAAACCCUUAUACAUCACUGUUAAAAGUUUAUGUUGUAACAAUGCUAUUGUUAGGGUCUCAUUAGGUUUAAAAUUUGUCAAUCGUUCGUCUAUAAUUUUGCGCCCUACUUGAGCCAUGCCCACCUCUAUUUAAUUUUCACCCCUCUCUCCAGUUCUGCUGUAUUAACACCAGGUUCAAUAUAUUUUGCUUCCAUCUCUCUGCC
RNA transcript from Epinephelus moara (kelp grouper), 2477 nucleotides. RefSeq lists it as uncharacterized. The transcript has 4 exons. The record is from RefSeq and is a predicted model, not a curated record. NCBI's taxonomy places the organism in Eukaryota, Metazoa, Chordata, Actinopteri, Perciformes, Serranidae.